Molecule: long non-coding RNA, 217 nt
Organism: Sycon ciliatum
Lineage: Eukaryota; Metazoa; Porifera; Calcarea; Leucosolenida; Sycettidae
Exons: 3
Source: RefSeq, a predicted model, not a curated record
AUCUUUCGAGGGUCAGCACCUGAGAAGCCUAUCCGAAGGAGUGUUUCAAAAGUUAACAGGCCUACAACAUUUAGCGUUAUUCAACAAUGAACUCAGUGCUUUACCAGAGGAAUUGUUCCCAAACCAACCAGCAUUUACAAAGCUAUGGCUAUCGAAUAAUCAACUUAGCCGAAUACCCGCUGGGAUAUUUCGAUCAACACCCAAUUUAAAAGUUUUG